UACGUUAACAAGACGACUGCCCUGAACCCGAGCCUCGCCGUAAGGCGAGAAGCGAGUGGUUCAGGGAGGAAAGUCCGAACACUCCUCACGCAAGUGAGGGAAAGGAGAGUUGCUAACGGCAACCGGGAGUAAGACAUCCAAAGAGUCCUCGCGAGUUUUUGGAUGGACCAAGCCCAGGGCCAGUGCAACAGAAAAUAUACCGCCGAUGGCUUCGUCGCAAGACGAGGAACAGGUAAGGUUGAAAUCGUGAGGUAAGAGCUCACGCGGGUAUGCAGUGAUGCAGCCUGUGGUAAACCCUCUCCGGUGCAAGGCCAAGUAGGUCCCGCCAAGGCGGGACGGGUUGGCUGCAAGAGGCGUGCAGCAAUGUACGUCCUAGAGAGAUAGUCGUCGCGUGAAAUCUGCGACCCCUCGACGGGCUCGGGGUUCUGCGAACAGAAUUCGGCUUAUCAGUUAACGUCGGCA
RNAcentral lists this RNase P RNA (462 nucleotides) under bacterium. Its description in RNAcentral is "RNase P RNA component class A". It matches the Rfam family "Bacterial RNase P class A". From Rfam's summary of the family: Ribonuclease P (RNase P) is a ubiquitous endoribonuclease, found in archaea, bacteria and eukarya as well as chloroplasts and mitochondria. The record is from RNAcentral.